Molecule: ribosomal RNA, 377 nt
Filed under: uncultured organism
Description: partial 16S ribosomal RNA
Rfam family: Bacterial small subunit ribosomal RNA
Source: RNAcentral
GUAGGUGGCAAGCGUUGUCCGGGAAUUAUUGGGGCGUAAAGCGCGCGCAGGCGGUUCUUUAAGUUCUGAUGUGAAAGCCCACGGGCUCAACCGUGGGAGGGUCAUUGGAAACUGGAGAACUUGAGUACAGAAGAGGAAAGCGGAAUUCCACGUGCAGCGGUGAAAUGCGUAGAGAUGUGGAGGAACACCAGUGGCGAAGGCGGCUUUCUGGUCUGUAACUGACGCUGAGGCGCGAAAGCGUGGGGAGCAAACAGGAUUAGAUACCCUGGUAGUCCACGCCGUAAACGAUGAGUGCUAAGUGUUAGGGGGUUUCCGCCCCUUAGUGCUGCAGCUAACGCAUUAAGCACUCCGCCUGGGGAGUACGGCCGCAAAGGCUG